Panicum hallii is the source of this 3427-nucleotide long non-coding RNA. RefSeq lists it as uncharacterized. NCBI's taxonomy places the organism in Eukaryota, Viridiplantae, Streptophyta, Magnoliopsida, Poales, Poaceae. The record is from RefSeq and is a predicted model, not a curated record. The transcript is spliced from 4 exons.
GUUCCCACGCGACGGUUCAAUCGCGAGUCCGCCCCGAUGCCCUCCCCUCGCAGCCCCGACGCGCGGCGCCCUCCCCUCGUCCGCCGCCCUCCCCCUCCUCUCCGACUCCACCACCGCGACGCUCGUCCACGGCAAGCCACGCCUUACUCCGGCCUCGCGAGCCGCCUCCCCGCCGACGACGGAAGGCUCGCCGCACCGCUCCCCCCCAACCCCUGGCCGGCCCUCGCUCUCCGGCGUCGCGAGCCGCCUCCGCGUCGACGACGAGCAGGGGGACGCGCAGCUCUCCCCCAACCCACUGGCGGCUCCGGGCUCCCCGGCGUCGUCAUCGCCGCGAGCCACCUCCGCUACGCCGACGAAGGCCUGCCGCGCCUCUCUCCCUCAACUCGCGGCCGGCCCUCGCUCUCCGGCCUCGCGAGGUGCCUCUCCCCCAACCUGCGGCCGGCCCUCGCUCUCCGGCCUCGCGUGGUGCAUCUCCUCCAACCUGCUGCCGGCUCCAGGCUCCCCGGCGUGGUCGCCGCUGCCGUCCCCGCCCAGACGCCGCCGCAGACGGUGGAGACGGCGAAACAAAUCUUCGCGGUGGUAUGCACUGGAGAGCCUAACUCUGCUCUGUUUUCGUUCCCAUGCCUCCAAUUCCCCCGCUGUCCUGUUCUGCCACCGCAUCAACGACAAGGCUGGGAGUCUGGGAUCGAGCAUCGAUGGCCACGGCUCCGAAGAAUCACGUCAGCCCCUAAUUAACUCCUACACUUCAUUCAACUAAUUAGCAUCUGUGCAGUUUGGACAUGGGAUCUGAAUUGGAUGCACGCACACUUUGGACUUUGUGUUUCUGAUCAACCAUUAGCAUCUUGUGUACACGAUACAUCACUUCUCAAUUCCGUUGGGCAAUAUCCCACACUUGCAUAUCACUUGUUCAAUAUAAAAGUCUUCCUUCUGUUUAAACCAUAUGAUGAAAUAUCAAUGCAAUGCAACUUGGUAUGAUAUGUAGUAGUCAGCCCCAGGAGUUUAAUGAGGUGAAGGUGAGGCUCGCAUGUGCACCCUGAGCCUGUGUGCAGCUGAUCAAUAUAGCAGCAUUAAUCUUGCAAACUUGGCAGAACAUAGGAUGUCACUUGAACAGAGCUUAUCAUCAAUGAACAAAUAUUGAGAUUUUUCAAUUUGUAACAGUUUAGCCUUGACUUCAGCAAUCAGCAUGUCUGUUCAUGGAAGCCAGUGUAGGCAAAUGUUGGACUCUACAUAGGACCUCUAUCUUUAACUUGAAACGAGAAAUAAUUAGAACAAACUAUCAUAAGUUAGAAUCUGGUCCAAAUUUCAGUUAAAAGCUGAUCUACUCUUACAGAAAGUUCUUAAAUAAACAGAGUUGACUUAAAUUGUAGAUAAACUCUGAGAAUAAAAGUCAGACCUACAAGAGACAUUUGAAAUUAUUCCCUUUUGCAUCAUGAUGCUUGUUAGUUGUCCAUCUGUUGGUGAUCUUGGUUGUUGUCCUAAAGCAACCUCCAUUCAGUUUGCUAUGAUUCAACAUGAUUUUGAUCAAUUGGUAUUAUUUCAUAUAUAGUCCAAGAGCAUGUGUACCAUCAAGGCUAUUCUUUCAGUCUUUUUUCUUGCAGAUUCAGAGCAUUCAUUGUUUGCUUGGAUUUAUUCUUUCAGUCUUAAUUUUUACAGAUUCAAAAUAUUCUUGCAUUGAUUAACAACCAGUAGAGCAAGUCCAAGCAGGCAACCAUGAGGUCUAGUUGUUGCCAUCCUAGAGGGCAAGCUGCAGGGUGUGGGAGCUGGAGUUCAACAUGUAGGAGGUCGCAGGUCACUGACAGCCCACUACUCGCUCAUGCAAAUCCAACCGUGCGUGGUCUAAGGAGCAGGUAGGCCACCUUGAUUUGCUCCUGCGAAUGUGGAUUGUCUUUGUUAUCUGCUAUUAUUUUACAUGCGGUGCAGAGCUCUGUCAUGUUUACGAUUGUAGGCGGAUUAUGCCAUAUGCAGGAGCUUCAAGGUACAGAGAUGAUCCUCCCAGUUAUGAACUCUAGAUUUAUGUGUUGAUUAGUGUUCCUGGAAUCAUAUUUUCGAUUAUGUAGGUGGGCUUGUGUUCUAAUUGAUUGAACUGAUGGACAGCGUAUCCUUAUUUUAAUUUUUCAAAUUUCAGCUGAUGAUUUCAGGUUUGUUUGUGUUUUGAUGAAUAUAACUGAUGGAUAGCAUGAGCCUUUCUUCCUAUCUCAAAACGAAGUCGAUGAGUUCUCUACAAAUUAUUAUGUCAAUAACAUUUAUUAUCUAUUUGUGGACACUGAUAUUUAAUGCCAGAUUGCCAGUUAAUACAAGCCACGAGAUGCUUUGGAAUGAGUAACUAACCAGUUAGUUUAACUGAUCAUUUGGCAAUGCCACAUGACAAUAAUUAUUGUCUUUUUACUUUUACAUGUACUGUCAGUACAAGAUUGUACUGGGGUUAGCUCGUGCUGACAUUGAAGGGAGACAGUUAGAAGAUCAUUCACCCUUCUUGAUGUUAGGCCUGAGAUAGUGUGCUGAGUGAGUUGGCGAUGAAAUCAAUGGCAGGCCUUAUCAGAUCAUCGAUAGAACACUCAGAGUGAGAUGCUUUGAUAAUUGAAUGCAAUUAAGUGAACAUUGAUGCAUCGUGCUUCUAGUGUUGAUCAUUGAACAUUUGCAGACCACUUCCUGCAUCUACAGCUUCAUACAAUAAUGGCAGGUGAAUAUUUUGAAACUUGAGAGCAUGGAGCUGUUUGACCGGCUAUUCUAGACCCGUAGGAUGAUCAACCAAGUGGAUAAAUAUUAUUUCCUAAGAUCAUUAUUCACUAUUAAUGUUAUGUGUUAAGAUCUGGUUCAUGAGUGAUCAUGUUUGUUUGGUCUGCAAUACAAAUUUGUACAAUUGGGUGGAUAAAAUAUGUUCUGCUAUGAUCAGUGGUGAGCUAGAUUGACUCAGUGACAAUGGUUAGUGCAGUAGGUUAACUUAGGAAUGUAUGUGCUAUGACCUUGAGGCAAGUGUUGUCCAUUUCAACUUUUCAGAGUUAGUUUUAUGUUCGAGUCAUGUAAUUUGCCCUGAAAAUUUUUAUGUGUCUUAUUUGGAUGACAAUAGCAGGGGACACUAUCCAAUCUCUUCUUCUCAAGGAUAAAGAUAUUCAUCUUUUAAAUAUCUUAAAGCUAAAUACAUUUCAUAUUCUCUUUUUCUUGGUGCAGGAGAUGUCAAAUGCCUCCACUGAUCUGAUUGAGAUAAUCAAUACCACGCAAUGUGAGAUUUUUUGGCUCAAUACCGGCAUGGACAAGGAUCAGCAACAUGAUGCCUCUGAUAUGAUUAACUAAAUGCUGCUCAAUUAAUCUGCUACCUCAAAUACUUGUUGCAAAUACUUUGAUCCAUCACGUAACACUAUUUCUGGUUAGCUGUAAGAACUCAGUUUCCUACUAUUACCUCAAUGGAUAAUAUUAUUACUUGUUUCAA